AAGUCGUAACAAGGUUUCCGUAGGUGAACCUGCGGAAGGAUCAUUAACGAAGGCGAGAAUUUCUAGUAGAUUCUCGUUUGAUCAACCACAGUCCAAUUUGUGCGAAUAUGGGGAAACCCACAGUGCUUUUUUAAUUAAUAAAACAAAACUUUCAACAACGGAUCUCUUGGCUCUU
This 175-nucleotide unclassified non-coding RNA is filed under the name fungal sp. RNAcentral's name for it is "partial internal transcribed spacer region". The stretch from base 1 to 46 matches the Rfam family "Eukaryotic small subunit ribosomal RNA", at positions 1786 to 1831 of the family's 1831-position model. The record is from RNAcentral. Lineage: Eukaryota; Fungi.